AGGGGGAGUAACAACGGGAAACCGUUGCUAAUACCGCGUACGAUUCAUAGACGGCAUCGUUUGUGAAUGAAAGGUGGCCUCUAUUUAUAAGCUAUCGCUGAAGGAGGGGAUUGCGUCUGAUUAGCUAGUUGGAGGGGUAACGGGCCCACCAAGGCAAUGAUCAGUAGCCAGUCUGAGAGGAUGAACGGCCACAUUGGGACUGAGACACGGCCCAAACUCCUACGGGAGGCAGCAGCG
Molecule: ribosomal RNA, 237 nt
Filed under: uncultured Veillonella sp.
Lineage: Bacteria; Bacillati; Bacillota; Negativicutes; Veillonellales; Veillonellaceae
Description: partial 16S ribosomal RNA
Rfam family: Bacterial small subunit ribosomal RNA
Source: RNAcentral